AUACAUGCAGUCGAGCGGAGAAAUGGGAGCUUGCUCCCAUUUCUCAGCGGCGGACGGGUGAGUAACACGUGGGCAACCUGCCCUGCAGACUGGGAUAACUCCGGGAAACCGGAGCUAAUACCGGGUAAUACAUCGCAUCGCAUGGUGCAAUGUUGAAAGUUGGCCUUUGGCUAACACUGCAGGAUGGGCCCGCGGCGCAUUAGCUAGUUGGUAAGGUAACGGCUUACCAAGGCCACGAUGCGUAGCCGACCUGAGAGGGUGAUCGGCCACACUGGGACUGAGACACGGCCCAGACUCCUACGGGAGGCAGCAGUAGGGAAUCUUCCGCAAUGGACGAAAGUCUGACGGAGCAACGCCGCGUGAGUGACGAAGGCCUUCGGGUCGUAAAGCUCUGUUGUUAGGGAAGAACAAGUACCGUUCGAAUAGGGCGGUACCUUGACGGUACCUAACCAGAAAGCCACGGCUAACUACGUGCCAGCAGCCGCGGUAAUACGUAGGUGGCAAGCGUUGUCCGGAAUUAUUGGGCGUAAAGCGCGCGCAGGCGGUCUCUUAAGUCUGAUGUGAAAGCCCACGGCUCAACCGUGGAGGGCCAUUGGAAACUGGGGGACUUGAGUGCAGAAGAGGAGAGUGGAAUUCCACGUGUAGCGGUGAAAUGCGUAGAUAUGUGGAGGAACACCAGUGGCGAAGGCGGCUCUCUGGUCUGUAACUGACGCUGAGGCGCGAAAGCGUGGGGAGCAAACAGGAUUAGAUACCCUGGUAGUCCACGCCGUAAACGAUGAGUGCUAGGUGUUGGGGGCUUCCACCCUCAGUGCUGAAGUUAACACAUUAAGCACUCCGCCUGGGGAGUACGACCGCAAGGUUGAAACUGAAACUCAAAGGAAUUGACGGGGGCCCGCACAAGCAGUGGAGCAUGUGGUUUAAUUCGAAGCAACGCGAAGAACCUUACCAGGUCUUGACAUCCUCUGCCACUCCUAGAGAUAGGACGUUCCCCUUCGGGGGACAGAGUGACAGGUGGUGCAUGGUUGUCGUCAGCUCGUGUCGUGAGAUGUUGGGUUAAGUCCCGCAACGAGCGCAACCCUUGAUCUUAGUUGCCAGCAUUCAGUUGGGCACUCUAAGGUGACUGCCGGUGACAAACCGGAGGAAGGUGGGGACGACGUCAAAUCAUCAUGCCCCUUAUGACCUGGGCUACACACGUGCUACAAUGGACGGUACAAAGGGCAGCAACACCGCGAGGUGAAGCGAAUCCCAUAAAGCCGUUCUCAGUUCG
RNAcentral lists this ribosomal RNA (1267 nucleotides) under Pseudoalteromonas sp. MB151. RNAcentral's name for it is "bacterial SSU rRNA". It matches the Rfam family "Bacterial small subunit ribosomal RNA", at positions 51 to 1295 of the family's 1533-position model. Lineage: Bacteria; Pseudomonadati; Pseudomonadota; Gammaproteobacteria; Alteromonadales; Pseudoalteromonadaceae. The record is from RNAcentral.